Bos indicus x Bos taurus (hybrid cattle) is the source of this 498-nucleotide long non-coding RNA. The record is from Ensembl. Lineage: Eukaryota; Metazoa; Chordata; Mammalia; Artiodactyla; Bovidae.
CUUUUAGGUGAUUUGUUAUUCAGCUGGGCUUCCCGGGUGGCUGCCUGCCAAUUCAGGAGAUGUAAGAAAUGCAGAUUCGAUGCCUGGGUUGGGAAGAUCCCUUGGAAGAGGGCAUGGCAACCCACUCCUGUAUUCUUGCCUGGAGAAUCCCACGGACAGAGGAGCCUGGUGGGCUAUGGUUCAUGGGUCACAAAGAGCUGGAUACAACUGAAGCGACUUAACACACACGCACACAUGCAUUAUACAGCUAAGGCCUCAUUUGUACAGAUAAUCGAGGGCUGGCAGAACUUCAGAGAAGUAUCUCUUGAAGGAGAUCAAACACUUCUCAAAAUCCAACUCCCUCUGAAAUGGCAAGUUUUUUCAUUCUCAUGGGAAAGUCAUUGCCUAGAGAAGCAAAUGGACAGAGGUGCUGAGAGAGAGAGCAUUCCUCUGGUCUCAUCCACUCUCUGAUGAGACAGAUGCAAUAAAGCCUGACUAGGCUGGUGAUUGGUCCUGGCC